Molecule: ribosomal RNA, 562 nt
Filed under: Salmonella enterica
Lineage: Bacteria; Pseudomonadati; Pseudomonadota; Gammaproteobacteria; Enterobacterales; Enterobacteriaceae
Description: partial 23S ribosomal RNA
Rfam family: Bacterial large subunit ribosomal RNA
Source: RNAcentral
GGGUUGUGAGGUUAAGCGACUAAGCGUACACGGUGGAUGCCCUGGCAGUCAGAGGCGAUGAAGGACGUGCUAAUCUGCGAUAAGCGCCGGUAAGGUGAUAUGAACCGUUAUAACCGGCGAUUUCCGAAUGGGGAAACCCAGUGUGAUUCGUCACACUAUCAUUACGUGAAUACAUAGCGUAAUGAAGCGAACCGGGGGAACUGAAACAUCUAAGUACCCCGAGGAAAAGAAAUCAACCGAGAUUCCCCCAGUAGCGGCGAGCGAACGGGGAGGAGCCCAGAGCCUGAAUCAGCAUGUGUGUUAGUGGAAGCGUCUGGAAAGGCGCGCGAUACAGGGUGACAGCCCCGUACACAAAAGCGCAUGUGUUGUGAGCUCGAUGAGUAGGGCGGGACACGUGGUAUCCUGUCUGAAUAUGGGGGGACCAUCCUCCAAGGCUAAAUACUCCUGACUGACCGAUAGUGAACCAGUACCGUGAGGGAAAGGCGAAAAGAACCCCGGCGAGGGGAGUGAAAAAGAACCUGAAACCGUGUACGUACAAGCAGUGGGAGCACAGGUUUACCUG